Non-coding RNA from Gasterosteus aculeatus aculeatus (three-spined stickleback), 674 nucleotides. The record is from RefSeq and is a predicted model, not a curated record. Lineage: Eukaryota; Metazoa; Chordata; Actinopteri; Perciformes; Gasterosteidae.
UUUGGUAAAGCUAAACUGACCUGUGUAAUAAUGAAGCAACUUAAAUAAUGUCUUUUCAGGUAUUUUAUUUCAUAGGCAUAGUAAAUCCGAUUUAAAAAGAACAGAAGGCAUAAUAAUGUUUUGUCAUUUUUAAACUGUAUUAAGAUGUAGUUCAUGUAACAUUGAGAAUAUCCAUCAUUAAAACGUUUUUUUCUCUUAAUUUAAGGAGAGCUGCCACAAGAUCCACUGUGUUCCUGCUGUGCAACCACCAGUUUGGAAGUCCCUCAUCUUAUUGUAUUAUCCAUGUAUGUGGAAAUGUAAACUACAGAAAAACAACAACCGUCAAACAAUAAAAUAAAAGAUGGCAAAGACGUUUGGAUACCGUAGACAAGAAAUAGUGCAUAAGCAGCCGAGCAUUGAAGACAUGUUGACAAGAUGGCCAGCACUUUUUCAGAUGGAGGAGAUUAAUGCUGAGUUCAUGCGGGUGACAACAGUACCCUUGGAGACAAAGUUCUUAGCGCAGUUGGACAAGCACACGUCAAAACUGCUGGAGGUCAUCAGGAGCAAGGGAGGGCGUGUGAAAGAGCUGACCAAGGCAACUUUGCAGGUUUUAGAUGAGGUAUCUAUUUAUGAAUUGGUUCUUAAUGCGAUCCAUAGUUGAAUAGUUGGUGUGUAUGUGCUUUUAUUAAUACCUA